This 432-nucleotide ribosomal RNA is filed under the name uncultured bacterium. RNAcentral describes it as "partial 16S ribosomal RNA". It matches the Rfam family "Bacterial small subunit ribosomal RNA", at positions 29 to 506 of the family's 1533-position model. The record is from RNAcentral.
AACGAACGCUGGCGGCAUGCCUAACACAUGCAAGUCGAACGAUCCCUUCGGGGAUAGUGGCGCACGGGUGCGUAACGCGUGGGAACCUGCCCUUAGGUUCGGAAUAACUCAGAGAAAUUUGAGCUAAUACCGGAUAAUGUCUUCGGACCAAAGAUUUAUCGCCUUUGGAUGGGCCCGCGUUGGAUUAGCUAGUUGGUGGGGUAAAGGCCUACCAAGGCGACGUUCCAUAGCUGGUCUGAGAGGAUGAUCAGCCACACUGGGACUGAGACACGGCCCAGACUCCUACGGGAGGCAGCAGUGGGGAAUAUUGGACAAUGGGCGAAAGCCUGAUCCAGCAAUGCCGCGUGAGUGAUGAAGGCCUUAGGGUUGUAAAGCUCUUUUACCCGGGAUGAUAAUGACAGUACCGGGAGAAUAAGCCCCGGCUAACUCCGU